This 431-nucleotide ribosomal RNA is filed under the name uncultured bacterium. RNAcentral describes it as "partial 16S ribosomal RNA". It matches the Rfam family "Bacterial small subunit ribosomal RNA", at positions 29 to 507 of the family's 1533-position model. The record is from RNAcentral.
AACGAACGCUGGCGGCAGGCUUAACACAUGCAAGUCGAACGCCCCGCAAGGGGAGUGGCAGACGGGUGAGUAACGCGUGGGAACAUACCCUUUCCUGCGGAAUAGCUCCGGGAAACUGGAAUUAAUACCGCAUACGCCCUACGGGGGAAAGAUUUAUCGGGGAAGGAUUGGCCCGCGUUGGAUUAGCUAGUUGGUGGGGUAAAGGCCUACCAAGGCGACGAUCCAUAGCUGGUCUGAGAGGAUGAUCAGCCACAUUGGGACUGAGACACGGCCCAAACUCCUACGGGAGGCAGCAGUGGGGAAUAUUGGACAAUGGGCGCAAGCCUGAGCCAGCCAUGCCGCGUGAGUGAUGAAGGCCUUAGGGUUGUAAAGCUCUUUCACCGAUGAAGAUAAUGACGGUAGUCGGAGAAGAAGCCCCGGCUAACUUCGUG